GAGGAAGGUGGGGAUGACGUCAAGUCAUCAUGGCCCUUACGACCAGGGCUACACACGUGCUACAAUGGCAUAUACAAAGAGAAGCGACCUCGCGAGAGCAAGCGGACCUCAUAAAGUAUGUCGUAGUCCGGAUUGGAGUCUGCAACUCGACUCCAUGAAGUCGGAAUCGCUAGUAAUCGUAGAUCAGAAUGCUACGGUGAAUACGUUCCCGGGCCUUGUACACACCGCCCGUCACACCAUGGGAGUGGGUUGCAAAAGAAGUAGGUAGCUUAACCUUCGGGAGGGCGCUUACCACUUUGUGAUUCAUGACUGGGGUGAAGUCGUAACAAGGUAACCGUAGGGGAACCUGCGGUUGGAUCACCUCCUU
RNAcentral lists this ribosomal RNA (367 nucleotides) under Klebsiella pneumoniae. RNAcentral's name for it is "bacterial SSU rRNA". It matches the Rfam family "Bacterial small subunit ribosomal RNA", at positions 1166 to 1532 of the family's 1533-position model. Lineage: Bacteria; Pseudomonadati; Pseudomonadota; Gammaproteobacteria; Enterobacterales; Enterobacteriaceae. The record is from RNAcentral. RNAcentral also lists the same sequence under 2 other names.